RNAcentral lists this ribosomal RNA (468 nucleotides) under uncultured bacterium. RNAcentral describes it as "partial 16S ribosomal RNA". It matches the Rfam family "Bacterial small subunit ribosomal RNA", at positions 28 to 507 of the family's 1533-position model. The record is from RNAcentral.
GACGAACGCUGGCGGCGUGCUUAACACAUGCAAGUCGAACGGAAAGGCCCUGCUUUUGUGGGGUGCUCGAGUGGCGAACGGGUGAGUAACACGUGAGUAACCUGCCCUUGACUUUGGGAUAACUUCAGGAAACUGGGGCUAAUACCGGAUAGGAGCUCCUGCUGCAUGGUGGGGGUUGGAAAGUUUCGGCCGUUGGGGAUGGACUCGCGGCUUAUCAGCUUGUUGGUGGGGUAGUGGCUUACCAAGGCUUUGACGGGUAGCCGGCCUGAGAGGGUGACCGGCCACAUUGGGACUGAGAUACGGCCCAGACUCCUGCGGGAGGCAGCAGUGGGGAAUAUUGCACAAUGGGCGGAAGCCUGAUGCAGCAACGCCGCGUGCGGGAUGACGGCCUUCGGGUUGUAAACCGCUUUCGCCUGUGACGAAGCGUGAGUGACGGUAAUGGGUAAAGAAGCACCGGCUAACUACGUG